This 1167-nucleotide long non-coding RNA is filed under the name Vulpes vulpes (red fox). RNAcentral's name for it is "lncRNA (ENSVVUG00000001957.1)". Lineage: Eukaryota; Metazoa; Chordata; Mammalia; Carnivora; Canidae. The record is from RNAcentral.
CAUGGACACAUGACAAAACAAUGGUGUGUGGGGUAUUAAAUAGCUGAGGUCAAAUGGGUGGUAGGGCAUUGGAUAUGAGCAGUGAUGUGCUGGGUACACUAGCUCUCAAAACAACAACCACAAUAGCCUGAUUUGGAGUGCUUGCCAAUCUUGUGUACAUACUCCUACAUGACUGCCUUCCAGCUACCACUGCAACGUCUCUGAGAAGAAGGCAUGACGUUCUGUACCUGACACACCAGGGCCCCUUCACAUGUGUGUGUGAAAGGCCUCAGCGGCCUGAGCCUGGAGCAGCCACGCGCCUGGACGGUGGGGAAAGUUCGAGGUACCAACGAUUGGGGUGGUCUGGGUCCCAGGCUAUCCAAAGCACACAGCUCAAAGUAAGAGAAAACCACUGUCUCCUACUCUGAAUUUUCUGAACAUAAAAAGCAAUUUCAAAUAGGGGGAGGAAAUAAAUCUUGGCAUUCUGUAAGUUUUCCCUUAUUAAGGACAUUCAGUGGCUUUGGUUUAUGGCUCUGUGUGUGUGUGUGUGUGUGUGUGUGUAUUUUUUCCCCCUCACUACUGUUUUCCUCUCUCCUUCCUUUUUAGUCAAAAUGUCAUGGUGCCAACCAGAUCUAAGUUCUGAGAAGUCUUGUUCUGGAUCACUGGAUGGUUCUGAAGGAGGAGGAAUUGUUUCUUGAUAAUGUGUCAACUCUUGAGGGCCAAGACCCUGCCAUAUUUCCCGUGGGCUCUGGUGAGGUACUGAGUGAACCAAUGAGGGAGCAACAUCAUUGUGACAUGUUUUCCCACCUCACAAUUCCCAUCAGGCUUUGUCAGAGGGACCCCUGCCCUGGCUAUACACUAGUGCUUAAGCCUCAGUCAGGGGGGCUGGGAGCUUGUCCCUGUAUAAUUCAGCAGAAGAGUUUAAGAACACCAUCAUGGGCGUUCUUAAGGAACACCAACCAUGUGCCCGGUGCUGCGGAGAGCACGCUACACAAGCAAUGCGAUCUGUGUUUGGGGGCGUCCUCUCCCCAGCUGUCCCCCACCGGUGUCCGUGGCUGGCAUCCUGCCUUGGCACAUGAGACCUGCACAGCAGCAUGGCUCCCCCACUUACUAGUCUCAGCUGAAUUGUCCUGGGACCACUUGAAAUGUGAUUUAUUUGUUGCUGGGCCAGUAGAAGGUUCCAUGUAG